CAAUAGCGUAUAUUAAAGUUGUUGCAGUUAAAAAGCUCGUAGUUGGAUUUCUGGUCGGAAGCUCCUGUCCUCUGAUGAGCGUACAAGUGCGUCCUACCAUCCUUCUGUUAACCUUUAAGGCUUUCGCGGCUUUCUAGGGGCUCAGAUAUUUUACCUUGAGAAAAUUAGAGUGUUUCAGGCAGGCUAGCGCCGGAAUACAUUAGCAUGGAAUAAUGGAAUAGGACUUUUGCCUCUUCUGUUGGUCAUGAGGCUCGAGUAAUGAUUAAUAGGGAUAGUUGGGGGCAUUAGUACUUAACUGUCAGAGGUGAAAUUCUCGGAUUUGGUAAAGACUAACUUAUGCGAAAGCAUUUGCCAAGGAUGUUUUCAUUAA
This 370-nucleotide ribosomal RNA is filed under the name uncultured eukaryote. Its description in RNAcentral is "partial 18S ribosomal RNA". It matches the Rfam family "Eukaryotic small subunit ribosomal RNA", at positions 592 to 976 of the family's 1831-position model. The record is from RNAcentral.